This 1263-nucleotide long non-coding RNA is filed under the name Salmo salar (Atlantic salmon). Its description in RNAcentral is "lncRNA (ENSSSAG00000083613.1)". The record is from RNAcentral. Lineage: Eukaryota; Metazoa; Chordata; Actinopteri; Salmoniformes; Salmonidae.
CGCAGAUCAUGGGGAUCGGGGGCCUGUUCCCGAGUAAGCAUCAUAUCCUUCGCGUCGGGCUUGUCAGAGUCGUGAAAGGAAAAAGAGGAUUCUGCUAGUCUGUGGUGAGUAAUCGCAGUCCUGAUGUCUAGAAGUUAUUUUCGGUCAUAAGAGACGGUAGCGGCAACAUUAUGUACAAAAAUAGUUUUCAAAAAUGUUACAAACAAUGCAGAAAAACAAACAAAAAAAGACAAUUGAAUCCUACAGACGAAGAACCGUAUAUGUGACAUUUUUCAAAAAAACGAGAUAUACAUGAAAAAUCAUUAUUGGACACCCUUUUUCUAUAGUGAACCGGUUUCACAAGCUUUCCACGCGCUAAUUAACAAUAUGUUUAAAUUUAAAGAUAGGCUCUCGUGGAAUAACCGUUUAUGUGCACCACUCAGAAUGGACGGACAAGCGCACAACUUUUCUGUUGCUGAUGAAAAUCACCGAAAUGUGGGAAAGAAACGUAAAACAAAACUAAAAGAAUGGAAAGACAGGCAAAGGAAGAUCUUACGGGAUGCGGGAAAACCCUAUACAAAUCGUAAGGGUCAAGAAAAAAAUAGGAAAAGCUGUCCAAAAGAGGGAAGAGCGUGUUCCACGACGUGCAGAAAGGAUUGUGGAAAGUUGAUUGAUGAGCGCAAGCUGCAUCUGUUCAACAUUUUCUACACUGUCCCAUACGAGAAACAACAAGCACAACCAGCAAAACCAUUCAAGGUGAUGAGGAUGCAAUGUGAAGACUUCAGUCACAUCCCAGAUUCUGUUCUCAAGCGACCAGCUGGACUACAGAUCACUUCAGUGAGGUGGUUAAAAGUCACAUGUAUUGCACAGAGAAUAGUUUACUAACAUCCCAUCAACAUGCAACAUGUUGUUCUAACAAUAAAAAAUCCUAAUGAUUCCCUUUUUUUAUUCAUUACAAUAUACAUCUCUGUCACCACAUUUAGCAUCAACUCUAAGCAGUUAAUACUUAUUUACUGCUGUCACCUCAGUACAGAAGGACGUUUCUUGCCUUUAGCAUGGGUUUAACGCAAUUCAAAACUUAAUUGCAGAUCAUAGUGUUAAACGCAAAGAUAAUGGUUUUCUGAACGUUUUGUAAUAUUGACCUUAGGGACCUGCAUAAUGGACAUGCAUAUUGGCACAUCACAUUGAUCCAUAUUUGAUAUGUACAAGUUGUACUUCUUUUGAUUGAAUUAAUUUAAUUGUAUUCUAUUUUUGUAGUUAUUCUAUGGUAUGUUCACAUUGAGG